AAAUUGAAGAGUUUGAUCAUGGCUCAGGUUGAACGCUGGCGGCAGGCCUAACACAUGCAAGUCGAACGGUAACAGGAAGCAGCUUGCUGCUUCGCUGACGAGUGGCGGACGGGUGAGUAAUGUCUGGGAAACUGCCUGAUGGAGGGGGAUAACUACUGGAAACGGUAGCUAAUACCGCAUAAUGUCGCAAGACCAAAGAGGGGGACCUUCGGGCCUCUUGCCAUCGGAUGUGCCCAGAUGGGAUUAGCUUGUUGGUGGGGUAACGGCUCACC
RNAcentral lists this ribosomal RNA (272 nucleotides) under Escherichia coli. Its description in RNAcentral is "partial 16S ribosomal RNA". It matches the Rfam family "Bacterial small subunit ribosomal RNA", at positions 1 to 269 of the family's 1533-position model. Lineage: Bacteria; Pseudomonadati; Pseudomonadota; Gammaproteobacteria; Enterobacterales; Enterobacteriaceae. The record is from RNAcentral.